This is a long non-coding RNA of Spinacia oleracea (spinach), 4242 nucleotides long. RefSeq lists it as uncharacterized. The record is from RefSeq and is a predicted model, not a curated record. The transcript is spliced from 3 exons. Lineage: Eukaryota; Viridiplantae; Streptophyta; Magnoliopsida; Caryophyllales; Amaranthaceae.
GCAUAAACCCCCCACUAGGCCCACGCCCUUAUCCCCUCCAUCUUCACCCAUCAUAGUUAUACUGAUUCUCUCUCCUCUAAUACAAACAAAUCAAUGGGUUCUUUCUCUCCUAAAUAUCUAUACUCCUCUUUUCUACUCCUUAUAACAUAAACUACUUAAUUAAACCCCUAAUUUGCAUAUUUUUAGUCAAUCAUCAACAACAAGCAUUAAGAAUCACAUGAAGGUUUGACAUGACAUGAAUACAUCUUUCUCUCUCUCCUCCUCCUACUUUCUUUCUUUUUUAUUUUUGAAUUUUCAUCUUUUAUUUUUUGCUUUGUAAGUAUGGAGAUUGUGAUGUUAUGCUCAAUGUUUGAUGUAAUUUUUAUAUUUACUAAAUCAAAGUUACGGAUUUAGUUUUUCUGCUCAUUUAAUCAAAUGAGCAAAUUUGUUUGCUCAUUUGAGUUUUUUUUUUUUUUUGCUCAUUAACACAAAUGAGCAAAUAUAUUUUACUCAUUUAUUUGAAAUGAGAAAAUAUAAUUUGCAUAUAUUUGCUCAUUUAUAUGAAAUGAGCAAAUUUCCCAACCUCGUCUCCCUUUUGAAUUUUGUAUUACUAAACACCAUGAACAAGAGCAAUAACAUAUUUAAUCACCCCCAAUUACAAAGUUUAUGAAAAAAAUAUUUUUCUUAUUUUCACUCUCCACAUAUCCAAAUGAAAAAUACCCAGAUAAGAUUAUCCAUUAAAAUUGAAAAAAAUGUCAGAAAAAUUGAGCAAGGGAAGACAACAAUGAUUGCAGGCUCAAUGACUUGUGGCAUAUAAUUGUGCGCCAUGGGUAGUUGGCCCAGUCAAAGCACAAGAUUUUAUGGAAUUGAGAAUCUAAAUGCACUUCAUUCAGCUCCCUCCUGUUAAAAGAAGAGGAGAGUUAUGAGGAUGUUGAAGAUGGAGGUGAGAGUAAAGGGGGUUGGUAUUAUUGGAAUCUGAUUAACAUCAUAAAUGAGAAAGAACAUUAGGGAAGUAGGAGAGAGAAAAAUGUGGUUAGAUUUUGAAUCGGUGGUGGUCGGUUAGCAUUGGUUUGUCAUUUGUCGUGAAUCGGUGAUUUGGUUUUUUUUCAUAAUUAUCUUAAUCAGGGAUGAUAGCGCCGUGUAUGAAAAUAAGCUGAAUUGUGAGUCGUGAGAUUAAGUAAUUUGUACGAUUGAGAUUCUUUCUCAUUCUUCUCAUUAUAAGGUGUCUUCUCAUUUGAGUGUAAAUAUAUAUAUAUAUAUCAUGAGAAGUUGAGAACCCCUCUUUUAAUGAGAACUCUCGUCCUCAAUCUUGGAUAUUGAUCUACGGCCAAUAUUAACGCUAAUUAAAACUCAUGAACUUAAAUAUCUAAAGUAUAAUAAAAAAAAGUAACCGAUCAAUUACAACAGCCCUUAUGUUUCUUUAUCACGUUGUUCUUCAAAUCUACCAAUCAUCUUGAUAAUCAUCAUAUUAGGAAAUUGCAGUACAAUACUCGCCAACCAGUUUCUACCGUCGUUUCCUUGUUAUCGUCAUAUACAGUGGAUAAGAUCAUUGAUGGAGCAAUCAACUGCAACAAACCAUUGCUUACCCGAAGGUUAUAAUAUGGAUGAGAUUCAACAAGAAGAAGACGAAUAUGAGCUUAAUCGUCACCAAUUGCAAUCUGAAAAUGAAGAGCGCGUUGAACGUGAAGGAGGAGAAAAUGAGACGCCUAACAAAUGCAGAAGCCCUAUGAAUAUAAUUAAAGAGUGGCUUCCUGUAUGUGAAGAUGAUUUGAAACCAAAAGAAGGUAUGGAGUUUGACAACCUAGAGGAAUGUGAGAAAUUCUACAAAAAAUAUGAUCAUCAAGUCGGUUUUAGUGUCCGUAAAUCAUCUACCAAAAGAGAUAAAAAAAAUCUGGAUUGUUGAAGUAUAAAACUUGUGUUUGUGAAAAAGAGGGUUUUAGAGAAGCUAAAUACGCAGGCAAGCAAAAAGUACGAAAUGUGAAAUUGAGUAGGGAAGGGUGUGAGGCUCUUGUUGGUUUUAAACGAACAUCGGAGGGUAAAUAUGUAGUGUACAAAUUUCAUGAAGGUCAUACCCAUUUACUUGCAACCCCUAGAAAGCGUCACAUGCUAAAAUCAAAUAGGGGAAUUACUAAUGUCCAUAGAUGCUUGUAUAAGGCAUUUGCUCGUGCCAAUGUUGGUGGUAGUAGGGCGCAUCGUUACAUAAAGGAACAAGUGGGUGGGUAUCAAAAUGUUGGAUGUAGUAAGCAAGAUUUGAAAAACUUCCAAAGAGAUUUGAGCCUUCAUAUUAAAGAUUAUGAUGUUGACAUGUUUAUUGAGAAUUUCAAGAGAAAACAAAAAAUCGAUCCUUCAUUUUAUUUUGCAUAUGACUAUAUGAGAUAAACAAGGCCACACGCCAAUUGAGACAUGUAUUUUGGGUAGAUGGCAUUUCUAGAAAGAAUUAUGCAUUAUAUGGAGAUGUUGUGUCAUUUGAUACUACUUAUGACACUAACAGAUAUAAGAUGAUCUUUGCUCCAUUUACUGGUCUUGAUAACCACUGACUUUGUAUUACGUUUGGAGCAGCAUUUUUGGGGGAUGAGAAAGCUGAAUCAUUUUCUUAGUUGUUUGAAAAGUUCUUAGAUGCACUGGACGGUCACAAACAUGUUUGCAUCAUCACUGAUCAAGAUCCUGCAGUGAAAGUAGCCAUCAAAAAUGUUUUUGACACGUCUACUCAUAGGUUUUGCAUAUGGCAUAUAAUGAGAAAACUUUCAGAAAAGGUGGGAAGCACUUUGAGUAGUAACGAAGUUUUUAUGAACCAAUUUAAGUCUUGUGUGUAUAAUUCAGAGACAAAGGAGGAAUUUGAAUCAUCGUGGAAAUCAGUUGUCAAUGAAUUUAAGUUACAAACUAAUGAUUGGCUUUCUCAGAUGUUUUCGAUUAGGGACUUGUAGAUACCAGCUUAUUUCAGAGAUGUUUUCUUAGGAGUUGUGUUACGGACAACGUUGAGGUCUGAAAGUGAGAAUAGUUUUUUUUUUGUAGUUUCACAAAUCCGCAUUUGAGUCUAGUGGAGUUCUGGAUGAGAUUUGAGAGUGUUGUAGAGUCACAGAGACAUUCUCAAUCAAUGUCUGACAAUGAUAACUUUUCUUUAAUUCCUGAACUAAAAACAAAUAGGGAUUUGGAGAGACAUGCAAGUCAAGUCUACACUUUCACUAACUUUUACAAGUUUCAAGAGCAGUUGUGGAUUGCUUGUAUGGAUUGUGAAGUUGAGGACAAGAAAGAGACACAAGAGGGACUAGUUAUAACUAUAGCUAAUCAUGCUCGAAAAAAUGGGAAGAUGCGUGAGGUUGUGUAUAACCCUCUCAGUCAUGUGGCAUACUGUUCAUGCAAAAUGUUCCCAUGUGAGGGAAUUCCAUGCCGACAUAUAUUAUGCAUUCUGAAGGGAAAAGGUUUAUCUGAAGUUCCAGGUUACUAUAUAUUGAACAGAUGGACCAAGAUGGCAACAAGCAAGUCGAUUUUUAAUGUGUCUAGUAACCUUUUGGAAACUUGUUCCAAAAUAGAUAAUGAGGAUAAGCUGAUUACUAAUAAUUGGUUUGAAUUCUUAAACUGCAUGAAUUUGGCGGGAAGAGACCCUGAAAAACUAACUCUUAUCUCAAAUGAAUUUCAAAACGUAUCAAAAUUAUUAAAAGAGUUCAAGAGUAAUCCCACUGAGAGCAAGACACAAGAGUUGGAAUAUUUUACCAGAUCAAGUGUACCGAAAGAAGUUGAGAUUCUUCCACCAAAAUAAUCGAAUACCAAAGGAUCUGGUAAACGCAUGAAAGGGGGAAAAGAGAAGGCAAUGGAACAACAAGAAAAGAAACAGAGACAGUGUAAAAGUUGUGGUCAUUUGGCAUACCAUGAUAGUGGUAAUUGCCCUGCAAAGAUCUCUACUUAACCAAGGGUGUUCUGUUCAUCACUGUUUUGGCUCUAGCUGGUGGUGGUGGUGCUGCUGCUGCUGAUGUUGAUGUGGAGGCGGUGCUGCUGGUGUUGAUGUUGAUGUCUCACUUCUGAUAUCAGCUGCUCUCAUUUUUUCUGCUUUGGUCUAAUGCAGCUGUAGUUCAUUAGGAAGUUGCCAUAUGUAGCUGAUUUUGUUGGGGUAUUUUAACUGAGAACAAGUUUGUACAGAAAGUCUCCAUUGUUGAUUGUUUCAUUGACAGUGAUAUUGUUGUCUGGGAACAACAUAUUGAUUUUUUGUGUUGCUUACUGUUAUCAUACUUCCCAUUAAUCUCUUCGGAGGAGACAAGUUUUUAAUUU